CCUACGGGAGGCAGCAGUAAGGAAUAUUGGUCAAUGGGCGCAAGCCUGAACCAGCCAUGCCGCGUGCAGGAAGACGGCCCUAUGGGUUGUAAACUGCUUUUGAACAAGAGAAAACCUCGGUACGUGUACCGAGCUGAUAGUAUUGUUAGAAUAAGCAUCGGCUAACUUCGUGCCAGCAGCCGCGGUAAGACGAAGGAUGCAAGCGUUAUCCGGAUUCAUUGGGUUUAAAGGGUGCGUAGGCGGACCGAUAAGUCAGUGGUGAAAUCUCUCAGCUUAACUGAGAAACUGCCAUUGAUACUGUCAGUCUAGAGUAUAGAUGAUGUGGGCGGAAUAUGACAUGUAGUGGUGAAAUACUUAGAUAUGUCAUAGAACACCGAUUGCGAAGGCAGCUCACAAAACUAUAACUGACGCUGAGGCACGAAAGUUGCGGGGGAUCAAACAGGAUUAGAUACCCUGGUAGUCCGCACCGUAAACGAUGAUUACCUCGUUGUUGGCAAAUAUAGACGUCACGCGACGACGACGAACGACGAGAAGUAAGUACCGACCGUACGGGUAGGUACGGUACCGGCCGACCGGUACGGUAACGUAACGAAACGGAAAGUAGUUACGGACGUUGAGGACGACGGACCGACGGACGGACCGACCGACGGGAGGGUUAGGGAGG
RNAcentral lists this ribosomal RNA (664 nucleotides) under uncultured bacterium. RNAcentral's name for it is "bacterial SSU rRNA". The stretch from base 1 to 542 matches the Rfam family "Bacterial small subunit ribosomal RNA", at positions 338 to 873 of the family's 1533-position model. The record is from RNAcentral.